RNAcentral lists this unclassified non-coding RNA (299 nucleotides) under uncultured Inocybe. RNAcentral describes it as "sequence contains 5.8S rRNA gene". The stretch from base 1 to 53 matches the Rfam family "5.8S ribosomal RNA", at positions 102 to 154 of the family's 154-position model. The record is from RNAcentral. Lineage: Eukaryota; Fungi; Basidiomycota; Agaricomycetes; Agaricales; Cortinariaceae.
GAACGCAUCUUGCGCUCCCUGGUAUUCCGAGGAGCAUGCCUGUUUGAGUGUCAUCUAAAUCCUCAAACCACAUUGAUUCUUUCGGUGUGGCUUUGGAAGUGGGGGUAAUGUUUGCAGGUUUUAUCCUAAGUCUGCUCCCCUGAAAUGCAUUAGUGGUAUCUGAGCAGAAGGAACUACUACAGGUGUGAUAAUUUAUCUAUGCCUUAGUAUACUGCAUAAAACAGAUUACACUGCUUAUAACAAACUUUAUUUCUUUUUUUUGGAGACCUCAAAUCAGGUAGGACUACCCGCUGAACUUA